AUGCAUUUUAGAAGAUUUCCAACUUCCAUAACUGCUCCCACUAGUUGGACCAAUAUCUUCUCCAUGCAUUCAUUGUUGAUCUGUGGAUUCUUGAUUUUGCAUUUUUCAUUCUUCUUCUUUGGUUCUAAAGAAGUAGACGUUGCUUCCCCUCUAGUUGCACAUGCAGCCGCUUCAUUUCCUUCAAUUCUACUAAGGAGUGCACGGACGUCUAUUAAGUUUCUUUCUAUCAAUAAAUCAAUGUAUUCGCCUUCCCAAAACCAAAAUGAGCAUCCAUCUUUCUACACACAUGAUGAUGUUCGAAAUGAGCUAUCGCAAUUGAACCAAAGAAUGCGGUGCCAAAGCCGAAUGAAAACAACAUGUACCCUGUCGUUUUCGCAUUUGAAGAACACCCAUCCGGGGUGCUUCGGCGUGCCCGAAGUUAGCCGCAGCACUGUCUGCGUGCAGUCGUGGCACUGUAUGAGCGGCAUCGGCGAGCCACAGAGUCUCUGCGCGAGCGCCGAGCCCGGCGGACGGCUAGCCGAAUCCAUGCCGACAAACCGUCGGCGGCGGCGACAGGACGAACCCGUACUUGCAUGCGGCGAUGGGACUUUACCGGGGCUGCGCGAGGUGCUCCCCGACCAUUCCAUCGCUUGGCGCAGCCACCGGCGGCCGAAAAAGCCAAGUCCGGCCGCCCGUGACGAAGGGUCGCAGAUCUGCAACUUUCCGGCCCGUCAACGCAGGAGGGGGGGGGGCGGAGGGCAACCUCGUGCGUGUGGCGGCCUUUCGGCGUGA
RNAcentral lists this ribosomal RNA (771 nucleotides) under Triticum aestivum (bread wheat). RNAcentral describes it as "partial small subunit ribosomal RNA". Lineage: Eukaryota; Viridiplantae; Streptophyta; Magnoliopsida; Poales; Poaceae. The record is from RNAcentral.